Molecule: non-coding RNA, 1248 nt
Organism: Monodelphis domestica (gray short-tailed opossum)
Lineage: Eukaryota; Metazoa; Chordata; Mammalia; Didelphimorphia; Didelphidae
Source: RefSeq, a predicted model, not a curated record
CCUCCACAACCACUCUUUAACCUGAACUAUCCGUCUUGGCAUAGAGCCUCUGCUCAUUCAGUCCUAGAGCUGGGUGGUGAGUAGCAGAAUUGCUAGUUACCAUCUACCCCUACUCCCUGAACAAGUUUAGGCCCUUUUAUACUAGUUGUGGGACCUCUUCUGGUACUCGGCCUCUCUCUUGCAUUAGCAUACUCCUUCGAGCUGUUCCUAUUGAGUUCCUAUUCCCCCUGUCCUCAGACCUCUGCCUCCCUAUGCGGACCUGAGCUGGAAAAAUGACUCACCAUAUUUUGUCAAGAAAUUGGCUGUACUUCUUGCUACUACUAUUCCAUUAUCUUGGCUCUGCCCCUCUGAGAUCCUGUUUGAUAAAGCAGUUGAAAGGCCCACGAUCAUCUAGGGAAAAGCAGAAAGGCCUCUAUCAAAGAAAAUCUCCCUCUAAGUACAGCCAGGCAUCCAUUUCAACCAUCUAGAUUCCCAAGGAGACUAGCUACCAAAUGACUCCCCUGUUAAAGGCUGGCCCUUCAUCCAUAGGAUAAUAGUAUGUUUAAAAGUAUUGUUUUGGUCAGGAACACACUGGAUCCAUAUUCAUUGUCACUUUAAGAGGUGUGGUCUAACUGGGAAAAUGUGUGAAGCCUGGGGAUAGAGCCACUGCUUGCUAAAAACAAUACGGGCCUGAGAAGACCUGGGUUUGAAUUCUAGUGCUCUAGACUAUGGGAAAAUCACUUAUCUUUGAGCCUCAGUUUGCUUAUGUCUUAAAAAGGAAAUGGUAAUAAUACAUCAUAGGGUGGUUAUGAGGAAGACAAGGCAAGAUUAUUGCAGGACUGUUAUCUACCAGCAUUUCUCCCAACAUGGGGUAGUCCCAGACCCCUCCUACUUUCCUCCUCUAACAGAGAUUGGUUUUCCCUAAAAUGGGACAAAGCUGUUUCUCCCUCUUCACCUGAUUGGGAUACCCAUUGAGGACAUAAUGUUGAAAUCUGGAAAGUCAGAAGCACAGCUGAGACAGGAAUGAAGGCUUGCUGGCCUGGUUUCCUCUCCAAAAUGGAAGCUCUGGGUAGAAUUCACCUAUGGGAGAAGGGGCCUGGCAUAAAAGAUUGAUUCAUCAAGGCAGGAAGAGAUAAAGGGUCACAAAGAAAAUGUUGGAGACAGGAUUUCAACUCAUCUUCUUGGCUCUAGGUCUAACCUUCUGUCCACUCAACCAUCUAGCUAUAAAGUAUGCUUAUUAAAGUAAGCAGCAAAGUGCUGUUGAGACAA